AGACAGCACCCAAACCCCCGGGGCCCGGCCCCCGCCCCGCCAGGGAGCAGCGAUGGCGCGGCCUCCCCGGAGCUGCGGUGCCCCGGCUGCAGCGGCCGCCCCGCGCCCGUCCCCCGAGCUCCCGUCGUGGCCCCUGCAGCUGCGCUCCCUCACGGACCCUGGGCCUCGGCUCCUCGCGUUUGCUUCCCUGCUUCCUCGGGACAGCCCUCUCUACUUCCACAGACCCGUUCCCAUGGCCUUCCAAAAUCCCCUGCCACCGGCUGCGUGCUCUUCCAUCAUUUCCUUCCCCCAGCCGCCUCGCUUCUGCUUCACAGAAUCACGGGAUCAAUUAGAUGAGAUUGUUCCUUCACUAUGUCAGCACUAUACCAGACAAUGGCUCCUUGCUAAGCCAGGCCGCAUUUCUCACUCCACAGAUGGCAGAAGUUACUCAUCCAUCAAGUUUAAGCCAGGCCAAGAAGAAAUCAAAUCAGAACAUGAGUGGAGAGAAAAUAAAGCUUUCUUCAGAGGAAGUUGCCUAGAGAUGACUUCUAACAAUUCAAAUGCUGCUAUGAUCCUAAAGGACUGGAAAAGUAUCUAG
RNAcentral lists this long non-coding RNA (577 nucleotides) under Cyanistes caeruleus (blue tit). RNAcentral's name for it is "lncRNA (ENSCCEG00000013759.1)". Lineage: Eukaryota; Metazoa; Chordata; Aves; Passeriformes; Paridae. The record is from RNAcentral.